UACAGAGGGGGCAAGCGUUGUUCGGAAUUACUGGGCGUAAAGGGCGCGUAGGCGGCCUUCUAAGUCAGACGUGAAAUCCCCGGGCUCAACCCGGGAACUGCGUCUGAGACUGGAAGGCUUGAAUCCGGGAGAGGGAUGUGGAAUUCCAGGUGUAGCGGUGAAAUUCGUAGAUAUUAGGAAGAACACCAGUGGCGAAGGCGGCUCACUGGAUCGGUACUGACGCUGAGGUGCGAAAGCGUGGGGAGCAAACAGG
This 253-nucleotide ribosomal RNA is filed under the name uncultured bacterium. RNAcentral's name for it is "partial 16S ribosomal RNA". It matches the Rfam family "Bacterial small subunit ribosomal RNA", at positions 524 to 776 of the family's 1533-position model. The record is from RNAcentral.